UACGGAGGGUGCAAGCGUUAUCCGGAUUCACUGGGUUUAAAGGGUGUGUAGGUGGGUUGGUAAGUCAGUGGUGAAAUCUCCGGGCUUAACCCGGAAACUGCCAUUGAUACUAUCAGUCUUGAAUACCGUGGAGGUUAGCGGAAUAUGUCAUGUAGCGGUGAAAUGCUUAGAUAUGACAUAGAACACCAAUUGCGAAGGCAGCUGGCUACACGAAUAUUGACACUGAUGCACGAAAACGUGGGGAUCAAACAGG
RNAcentral lists this ribosomal RNA (253 nucleotides) under uncultured bacterium. RNAcentral's name for it is "partial 16S ribosomal RNA". It matches the Rfam family "Bacterial small subunit ribosomal RNA", at positions 524 to 776 of the family's 1533-position model. The record is from RNAcentral.